CAAUAGCGUAUAUUUAAGUUGUUGCAGUUAAAAAGCUCGUAGUCGGAUUUCGGUUAAGAGCGACCGGUCCGCCGUUUGGUGUGCACUGGUUGGUUUUAACUUCCUGUAGAGGACGUGCUCUGGGUUUAACGACCUGGACUCGGAGUCUACGUGGUUACUUUGAAAAAAUUAGAGUGUUCAAAGCGGGCUUACGCUUGAAUAUUUCAGCAUGGAAUAACACUAUAGGACUCCUGUCCUAUUUCGUUGGUCUCGGGACGGGAGUAAUGAUUAAGAGGAACAGUUGGGGGCAUUCGUAUUUCAUUGUCAGAGGUGAAAUUCUUGGAUUUAUGAAAGACGAACUUCUGCGAAAGCAUUUGCCAAGGAUGUUUUCAUUAA
This 375-nucleotide ribosomal RNA is filed under the name uncultured eukaryote. Its description in RNAcentral is "partial 18S ribosomal RNA". It matches the Rfam family "Eukaryotic small subunit ribosomal RNA", at positions 592 to 976 of the family's 1831-position model. The record is from RNAcentral.